UGUCCAGAGUGGUCCGUCUGCAUCCCGGGAGAACGAACCCCGCAGUAAGCUGAGAAAACCCCAUCGUGACACCAAAAGCGCCUUAUUGCGGUGAAACUUGCCAAGGGACAUUCAAGGGGUAAAAAGAGCAAAAGAAAUAACAAGCUGACCCUUGACAGUUAUGGCUUCCUGUCCAAGAUGUUUCUGUAGGAACUCUGAAUAUACGGAGGAUGAACUACUACUUCUAGAAGCCAGCACGGAGGAAGGGUGAGACGUUGGAGCAGACGGAAGCCAAGAGAGUGAGGUCGGCGUGACUCGAAGUUGCAAAAUGUGGAACUUGCUAUUUUGACAUAAAUGGAGUGCUUACCCUAAUAAACCGAAAAAAGUCCACGGCCAGCUGGACCAAACUCACAACUGUCCAUCGAGUGAGUACACUUUAACGUUAUUCAUGAUACAGACAGCACACACGCUGUCGAGCAAGCUGUGUACAAACAAAUCAUGAAAAAGUUUGGACACACCUCCUCAUUCAAUUAGUUUUCUUUAUUUUCAUGACUAUUUACAUUGUAGAUUGUCACUGAAGGCAUCAAAACUAUGAAUGAACACAUGUGGAGUUAUGUACUUCACAAAAAAAAAGGUGAAAUAACUGAAAACAUGUUUUGUAUUCGAGUUUCUUCAAAAUAGCCACCCUUUGCUCUGAUUACUUUUUCGCACUCUCUUGGCAUUCUCUCGAUGAGCUUCAAGAGGUAGUCACCUGAAAUGGUUUUCACUUCACAGGCGUGCUUGAUUUAUGUAAAAUACCCAAUGGUGAUACUUUUGUAAAGUUUAUAUGUUCAGCCUUACAAACUUAAAUGAAGGAAGAAGUGUAAAAAAAAUUUAAAAAAAUAAAGAAGGAAAAUAAUUUACAAGAAGGAACAUCAAUCCUCAGCAAAACUUCUGGAGCUUCUGUUUCUUCAUGCUGUUAACUAUCUGUCUGGCUGCACACGCCGGAAACGAGUAGUGAGGGCAGAAUUAUUAAUUUAUUGACAGUGCAGUGUGAAAGCUGGUUUGUUUACUUUGUAAUUAAGUAAACCUCCUAAGUCACAGGUGUCAAACUCAAGGCCCGGGGGCCACAUCUGGCCCGCAAACACCUGGAAAUAUUAUGUCAAUAAAGUACUUAAUAUUUCCUCACUAAAUGUAAUAGAUUUUUUUUAAAUUUUGGCAGAAAAAAUAUACGUACUGCUUGAAAUUGC
Molecule: long non-coding RNA, 1208 nt
Organism: Entelurus aequoreus (snake pipefish)
Lineage: Eukaryota; Metazoa; Chordata; Actinopteri; Syngnathiformes; Syngnathidae
Exons: 4
Source: RefSeq, a predicted model, not a curated record